AAAGAAGGAGUUCCCCCAUCUUUUCAGGAUUCAGCUGAAUCUCGAGGAUGAGAUUCAAUUUAAGUAGGGUAGUUUGUAACAUCUGUAAAAUCUACUAACUCAAAUCAUCCGCUAAAAAUUCAUCUUCAAAACCUUUUGACUGUUAAGCUCCCGGAAAUUCUUUCCUUCCCGACGAUUUCGCUAUCCCAGCACCCAACGCUGGCAACCGCCCUUUUCUUCCUCCAUAAAUUUUGCCGCAUGCCCGUCAAAAUCCGUCACGCGUGCUCAACUAUUUUCCACAUUUUUCACUGACUCUCCCUCUCUUUUCUCUUUUUCUUCCCCUUCUUCUUUUUUUCCUUUUCUUUUUCUUUCUUCUCUUUCUUCCUUUCUUCCUUCUUCCUCCUUCUUCUUCCUUCCUCUUUCUUCUUUCUUCCAGGCCGAGCGCACGCCUGCUCCUCUGGCGCCUGGCCACCCUGGCCCCUCUCCUUAGCCCACCCACGCACCCUGCCGCUCGCCCCGUGCCUGGCGGCCCCCAGCCCCGCACGUCGCUCGCUCCGCGCCCGCUG
RNAcentral lists this long non-coding RNA (545 nucleotides) under Setaria viridis. RNAcentral describes it as "long non-coding RNA (SVIR_LNC007618)". Lineage: Eukaryota; Viridiplantae; Streptophyta; Magnoliopsida; Poales; Poaceae. The record is from RNAcentral.